GACGAACGCUGGCGGCGUGCCUAAUACAUGCAAGUCGAACGCAGUGGGGACGGGUGAGUAACACGUGGGUAACCUCCCAUCAGAGGGGAUAACACUUGGAAACAGGUGCUAAACCGAGACUGAUGGAUGGACUCGGGGUGAAUUAGCUAGUUGGUGGGGUAACGGCUCACCAAGGCCACGAUCCAUAGCCGCCCUGAGAGGGUGAUCGGCCACACUGGGACUGAGACACGGCCCAGACUCCUACGGGAGGCAGCAGUAGGGAAUCUUCGGCAAUGGGCGAAAGUCUGACCCAGCAACGCCGCGUGUGUGAAGAAGGUUUUCGGUUUGUAAAACUCUGUUGUUAGAGAAGCGGUAUCUAACCAGAAAGCCACGGCUAACUACGUGCCAGCAGCCGCGGUAAUAC
Molecule: ribosomal RNA, 403 nt
Filed under: uncultured bacterium
Lineage: Bacteria
Description: partial 16S ribosomal RNA
Rfam family: Bacterial small subunit ribosomal RNA
Source: RNAcentral